RNA transcript from Physcomitrium patens, 4086 nucleotides. RefSeq lists it as uncharacterized. NCBI's taxonomy places the organism in Eukaryota, Viridiplantae, Streptophyta, Bryopsida, Funariales, Funariaceae. The record is from RefSeq and is a predicted model, not a curated record.
GGAAUGAGAGGAUGUAUGGAAACAAGUAGGAGGACUCCUUUGCUUCGAUGGCUCUGUUACACCGCCCCGUUCCGCCCGGUCGGUGCCACCCUCCGAUGCUUGCCUUCUUCCCAGGCGUCUACCGUCGCUUUGUUGCGGGAUGAAUCGUGAGUUCAUCAGCUCUAGCAGCAGCAGCAGAAGGAGCACUCUCGUUGCGGGAAAAUUCCAUGAGCGCAUAACGACAAAUUAUAGCGGAGAGGAAACGGACUCUGGGAAUUAGGGGGGAAGACGUGACAACGAACAUCGUAGGUUCUCAACAGGGGGACAGGGUUUCAGCAGUGUGUUCCCUCCUUCACCGCUCACACUUUCUCAUUGCUGUGCCUUCGAUUUCGGUGUUGCUGUUCUUGCUCAAUCGGCAGCUCAAAGGCUGAGAUUGGAAAUUCGGGCUUUGAGAAGAUCAAUUUCAAGUCGGUGGUAUCGACUUAACGAGGUGUUAGAGUCAUUGAGCCAUGGGAGUUUUCACGUGCUCCUUGAAGCACCAGCGUCUCUCCCCUCGUCUGCUCUUCUACGUCCACCGCUGCCUAUCCCUCUCCUCGCGCUUCUCCCGGAAUUCCCUUUCUCCUCUACAUUCGCUUCCUCCUCCUCCUCCUCCUCCUCCUCAUUCUCGCUUCCCGCACUUGCCCUCCCAUCCCUCCAAUUUUCUUCUGCGCUAUCAUUCCCGGUUCCCUCAUGUUCGCCUUGUCUCUACCCAUUUUAAUCCUGGCGACGCUGGUGCUGCUGAUAACAACCACAACCAUUUGGCAUGCUCCGUUGUUGCUCCGUUGGCUGAUUGCACUGCCGAGGAUAACACCACCGACGAGCCUUCCACCUCAUCGCCCUCUUCUCACAGGUGCCAAGUCGACAAGAAUGUGGAUUCCGCUUUCCAGUCACUCAGAACCAAGUUUACGGAGGCAUUUCAGAAACGAGUUGUCGAUUGGCAAGAUAUUCCUGGCUUUUUAGAGUCAUUUCCUUAUUAUUUAAGUGACGAUACAAAAGAUACCUUGGUGGAUUGCGUGGCCUCUCAUUUGUGGCAGCCCAAGUAUGCUUCUUAUGGAUUGGGCCUGCCUGCCUCAAGCCGACGAAUAUGCCUUCGUGGACCAGCAGGGAGCGAAUUGUACCAGGAGAAAUUGGUGGAGGCAGUCGCCAAGCAUCUGAAGGCUUCAUUGCUUGUUCUGGACAGCACAGUCCUUUCUCCACAUGACUAUGGGGAUCAGGAGUUUUCUUCAGAAUCAGACGAGGAAUUUUCGGAUUCGGAGGCUGAGCAUGUUGAGGGAUGGUCUGCCACUGAUGGCAACACGCAAGAUGUUUCUGAAGAACAAGAUAAUGAAAAUGAGGGUUCCAGAAAUAGGGAAUUUAAGGUCGAUGCUUUGUUGGAGUUUGCUGCUGAUAGUGUAGAAGAGUAUAAGCAAAAGCUUCUGUUGCAGGAAAGAAAGGAACGGAGGGAUGCUGGGCAUGAAGAUGAUGGUCACGACUUCAGUUUUAGACUUAGGAAAGGUGAUCGGGUUAAGUAUGUUGGCAGCAGUGACAGGCUUGGCAAGAUUGAGCAAGCAAGGCAGGUGUUAAAGGUGGGUCAAAAAGGGCGCAUAGUGUCGGUACCAAAGGGUCAUACAGGUAAAGUAGGCGUGCAAUUUGAAUCUUCUGAUCGAAGGAGCGAAGAGUCUUUGAAAACAAAUAAGAAGCUUGAGGAGGUUCUCAGGGCCACUCCACUAGUCGACUGGUGUGAUCUGUCAGAACUUGAACCUGACGAGAGUCCUCAAUCCGAGGAGAUAGAGGAUUGCCUUGCCUCAGUGGAGGCUCUUUGUGAGUUGUCUCCAUCCGCAAGACCACUUAUUGUUUAUUUCCCUGACCCUAAACAAUGGUUUGAAAGGGCUGUACCUUCAAGCCAAAGAAAGGAGUUUCUUGAACGGGUCGAAGCAAAACUUGACCAACUUGAGGGUCCUAUUGUACUCAUUGCUAGUCGUAUAAAUGAAGAAGAGGUAGAUUACGAUGACAAAAACAGGCUGAAGGCACAUUUGGAAGGAAUACGCGCCAGAUUGAAUGUGAAGUCUCCAGCAACGAAAUGGACCGUGGAGGAAGUAAUUGCUAUGGAUAUUUACGAGUUGUUUUUGAAUACCAUCAAGAUAUCUGCGCCUCAGAACGAGCAACAGCUGCGAGACUGGAAAAAGCGAUUGAACCACGACAAGGAACUUUGCAAUGCUAAACGAAAUAUCCAGAAGUUGCACAAGGUUUUGGAGCUUCAUAAUAUGGAGUGCCCUGAGCUCUCUAGCAUCGACUCAUUCGGCUUGAAUCUUACCGAUUCUAAAGCGGAAAGGGUUGUUGGAUGGGCAAGAAAUCAUCACCUAGGGCUUUGUCUCUUUGAACCAUUGCUUGUUGAUGGGAAGCUGAUGAUCCAAGCUACUAGUGUGGAGCGGGCAAUCACAAGAUUACGUGAGCAAGAGAAUAGAAAUUCUGCUAAUUUUGUGGACUACAAGGCACUGGCAGAGGAUGAAUAUGAAAAGGCUCUUCUGUCAGCCGUCAUCCCUCCAGAGGAAGUGGGGGUAAAAUUUGAUGACGUUGGAGCGUUAGAGAAUGUAAAGGAUGCUUUGAGGGAGCUUGUGAUGCUUCCCUUGCAGCGCCCUGAGCUCUUCUUGAAAGGCAACUUGACAAAGCCUUGCAAAGGAGUGUUGCUGUUUGGACCUCCUGGCACAGGCAAAACUCUUCUUGCAAAAGCAGUGGCCACUGAGGCAGGCGCAAAUUUCAUUAACAUUACUGGAUCGACAAUCACAUCAAAGUGGUUUGGAGACGCGGAGAAGUUGACUAAAGCAUUGUUUUCACUAGCAAGGAAACUCUCUCCAGCGGUGAUAUUUGUGGACGAGGUGGAUAGCUUGUUGGGUGCUCGUGGUGGGAGCUCUGAGCAUGAAGCCACCCGGAAAACUCGCAAUGAGUUUAUGGCUGCCUGGGACGGAUUGAAGUCCAAAGAGAGUGAGCGAGUACUUGUUCUUGCUGCCACAAACAGACCCUAUGACCUUGAUGAUGCAGUCAUUCGGAGGUUGCCGAGGAGGAUACUCGUGGAUUUACCCAACUAUGAGAAUCGAAUAAAGAUUCUGCAUGUUAUUCUCGCUCAGGAGGAAUUAGCAGAGGGAUUUAGCUUUGAGGAACUUGCUCGAAUAACACAUGGUUACUCUGGCAGUGAUUUGAAAAACCUGGCGGUUGCUGCUGCUUACAGACCCAUUCGUGAGUAUUUGGAGAGUAAUAAACAACAGCUCUUCAACUGGAAUGACUGCUUGGCAGAUACUGGGAUCCAGUGAAAGUGGAGGCACACUGUAUCCAGAGGCGGUUAAUACAUCCUUACGUGCACUGCGGUUAGACGACUUCCAGGAGUCAUUAAAACAGAUUGGGGCAUCAAUUUCAUUCGAUGCAUCAAGUAUGAAUGAGCUGCGUCAAUGGAAUGACAAGUAUGGAGAGGGUGGAAGCCGCAAAAAAUCUAAUUUUGGAUUCUCUUAGUACAUGAACUUAAGAUGUCUAAAUUUGAUCGGUUCAUCCCAUCCAAGUUUCAGACUUGCAUGGAGAGUUUAGGUAGCUAACGGAUGUUGAUUCCAGCCACGGCCGAAUUUUUUUUAACUUGGCUGUGCAUCAAUUGUCCAAGUUCCAUGGGAGCUUUCUGUGGUCACGACUGGGUAAAAACUUAAGGGGCUCUACGUGUGAACCGUGCAUUCUUGUCGUGUAGGGGUGGACCAUACUUCAAACUAAGAAUGCACCGUCCAGAGGUCGACCCAUCUUAUGGUAGUACGUCGGAUGCAGGAUGAGACGGAACUUGGAAGCUCUAGUUCAUAAGGAGAUAGUGUACGCCAUUCAUUAAUGUUGACAAAAGAGCUUUAGUACGAUAGUGGAUUAGAAAUGUAAAUGGAUUCUUCCUUAAAUGAAUAGAGUGGGUGGUCUUUGAGACCAUUCAUAGAUUCUUCAUAGAUCUACACCCCAAUUUGGACUUAAGCAGAGUCUUUAACGGACAGGAUAUGAGCAUCCAGAACGGUGCUGCUCAUUGUUAUUUUCAUUAUGAUUUUUGCAUACAAAUCGAUUUAGUUAUGCCAA